GGUUCGCAUAUGGCGGGUGGCGUCAUGUUGUUUGUAUUUACGGGAAAAAUCUCAGCCGGAGAAUAUGCCGUCGUCGACUAAUUUCGCCUAAGGAGAGGUUCUUCGUCGCGAAACCGAUGGUCAUCAACGAUCGGCGACGUCCCGUCGAGUACGGGACGCGUCAUGACACGUCGGCGCUGUCAGCCGGCUUCGGCCAGCACAUUGAGGAGUACGAGGUGCUGAAUCUCCUCGGCAAGGGCGGUUACGGGAGCGUUUACCGAGCGAAAUGUCUCUGCAGCGGCAUGGAAGUCGCGAUCAAAAUGAUCGACAAGAAAAUGAUGCACGCUGCUGGGAUGGUGGAUAGAGUAAAUCAGGAAGUGGGAAUACAUUCACGAUUAAAACAUCCAGCUAUAUUAGAGUUGUACACAUGUUUUGAAGAUGCAAACUAUGUGUACUUGAUAUUAGAAUUAUGUCACAAUGGGGAACUUCAACGUUUUCUCAAAGCACAGGGUGCCAAAGCUUUACCCGAAGAACAUGCUGCUCGUAUAAUUAGACAAGUUGUACAAGGUUUACUUUAUCUUCAUUCCCAUCAGAUACUGCACAGAGAUAUGUCACUGUCUAAUUUACUUUUGACGAAAGAUAUGCAAGUGAAAAUAGCGGAUUUCGGGUUAGCUACGCAAUUAAGUAAACCAGAUGAAAAGCAUUUGACUAUGUGUGGCACUCCCAACUACAUUUCUCCUGAAGUUGCUACGAGAUCUUCCCAUGGACCAGAAGCGGAUGUAUGGAGUUUGGGAUGUAUGUUAUAUACUUUAUUAGUCGGUAAACCACCGUUCGACACCGAUGCAGUUAAGAGCACUUUAACGCGAGUAGUAAUGGCUGAUUAUGUGAUGCCGCCUUAUUUGUCGGACAAUGCAAAAGAUUUGAUAGAUAAAUUACUGAAAAAAAAUCCGAAAGACAGGAUAUCCCUACGAGAUAUUCACAAACAUCCAUUUAUAAUGAAUAUAGAAAGAAGUAAACUAUAUAAUGAAAGAAAUGGCAUGGGAAGUAAAGAUUUUUUAACUGAUGGUAUGAUUGAUUCCGGGCUAGGUAGGACCCUGUCCUCGUAUGGCCGAUCGAAAAUGCGAGCUCGUUCAGAGGAAAGAACAUCCACGACCCCGAUAAUGCCUAUGCUCAGUGUGAGAAGCGAGGCGUUGUCUGAACCUAUUACAAAAAUGCAAUCAAAUUAUAAAGCGAGAUACAAGAAUUAUAACACAAAAGAAGAUUCUGUGUUAGUAGGUGUUCCAAUAUCUCGCAGUAGAGUGUUUUCGCAAAACGAUAAGUACAAUGAGUAUGAUAAUUUUGAGAGGCAAAAAAUGACUGAAAGACAUAAUAACCCAAGAAAAGAAAAGAGUGCGGAAAAUCAUAAUGUAGAAGAGGAGAGUGCAAAGUUACAAGUACCUCCCUUGAAUACCAACAGAUUACAACCUACUAGGCACAGAACAAACAACGCGAUUUUUACGAUUCUAGACCAUGGAGAAGUAUGCAUCGAGUUUAUGAGACGUAAAAAUGGCAAGGAAAAAAUCAAUGAUGUGUGCAGAAUAUCAGGUGAUGGUCUACGAGUCGUUCUCUACAAACCUAGUGUGGUUACAGAAGUAGGCUUGCAGCCACCACCAUUGCCCAGCCGUGGUGCUGAUAGUAUUUAUUCCUAUGAGAAUUUACCAGCGUGUCAUCAUCGAAAAUACAUAUACGCUUUCCGUUUUGUAAAAUUGGUUCAAGGGAAAACUCCAAAGUUAACACUAUAUACUCAACGUGCAAAGAGUGUCUUCAUGGAGAAUGGUCCACAGCCUGAUUGUGAAGUUCAUUUUUACAAUGGAGUAAAGAUUGAUCGAAUAAAUGACGUUGUGAAGAUCACCGACAGCGGUGAUACAUUUGUUGAGGGUGAAAUUCCGCCGCAUCUCGAAACCUAUUUCGAGCAUUACUCGGAGUGCUACAAACGUUGCUUACUACUGGAAUCUACUUUGACAUCUUUAGAAACAGCCACUGGACAUCCUUGUUUUCCCGUAAUAAUUGGACGAAAGCCUUGCACAGUCCUGAAUAAUUCUCCCUAUUUGCAGGACAAAGAAAAUAUGCAUACUAAUAGGAAUAUUUCUCCCAUUUUGCCGUCAUUCGAUGGUAGCUGCUCCAUCGUUUCGACAGUGGCUUCUAAAUCACGCAAGAUAAAUUCCGCGCAUAGUUUUAAUAAUGCAAAUAAAGUAAGUGUGCCAGGAAUUGGUUUUGCCACCACAUUAUCAUCCGGUGAUAUCCGGGUUGAUUACAAGGACGGAUCCGCUUUAACUGUAAGUCCGCAAAAUCAUAAUAGCAUUAUAUACGAAAGUAAAGAUGGCAUUGUUAUGCGAUAUAAUAAGCAUCACCAACAAAAUCUGGAUACAUCGGUCCACGAGAAACUUCUUCAAUUACCAAGGAUUGUUCAGUUUCUCAUGGGACCAAGGCACAAAUGUAUUCGGUAACUCUAAUCAAAAAUAUUGAAUGUUGUAUAAUACGAUUGAAAAAUCACUCUGACAUGGACUAUAGCAGAGGAGAAAAGCUGUAAAUACUAUUAAGAGAAAUUUAAGAGUAAUUCUUAUAAAUGGAAUUUAAAUAAUUGAACAUUUUUCCACAUUAUGUGUAAUAUAUAAAGAAAAGUUUUUAAAUUCUUGCGGUAUCUGCUGCUACUCAAAAUAAAUUAUACAGGUAUA
Molecule: non-coding RNA, 2693 nt
Organism: Nylanderia fulva
Lineage: Eukaryota; Metazoa; Arthropoda; Insecta; Hymenoptera; Formicidae
Source: RefSeq, a predicted model, not a curated record